AGAGUUUGAUCAUGGCUCAGAACGAACGCUGGCGGCGUGGAUAAGACAUGCAAGUCGAGCGGGACUUUUCGUUGUAGCAAUACAGUGGAAAGUUCAGCGGCGAACGGGUGCGUAACACGUGGGCAAUUUGCCUUAAAGUGUGGGAUAGCUCGGCGAAAGCCGAAUUAAUACCGCAUGUGGCUACUGGAGACAUCUUCGGGACGCUAAAGGUGGCGCAAGCUACCGCUUUUUGAGAAGCCCGCGGCCUAUCAGCUUGUUGGCGAGGUAACGGCUCACCAAGGCUAUGACGGGUAGCUGGUCUGAGAGGACGACCAGCCACACUGGGACUGAGACACGGCCCAGACACCUACGGGUGGCAGCAGUCGAGAAUUUUUGACAAUGGGGGAAACCCUGAUCGAGCGACGCCGCGUGGAGGAUGAAGGUCUUCGGGUUGUAAACUCCUGUCAUUUGGGAACAAGGCGUAUUUAUUAACUGUAAGUACGUUGAUAGUACCAGAAGAGGAAGAGACGGCUAACUCUGUGCCAGCAGCCGCGGUAAUACAGAGGUCUCAAGCGUUGUUCGGAUUCAUUGGGCGUAAAGGGUGUGUAGGUGGCGCGCUAAGUCGGGUGUGAAAUUUCGGAGCUUAACUCCGAAACUGCAUUCGAUACUGGCGUGCUUGAGGACUGGAGAGGAGACUGGAAUUUACGGUGUAGCAGUGAAAUGCGUAGAUAUCGUAAGGAAGACCAGUGGCGAAGGCGGGUCUCUGGACAGUUCCUGACACUGAGACACGAAGGCCAGGGGAGCAAACGGGAUUAGAUACCCUAGUAGUCC
RNAcentral lists this ribosomal RNA (810 nucleotides) under uncultured bacterium. RNAcentral's name for it is "bacterial SSU rRNA". It matches the Rfam family "Bacterial small subunit ribosomal RNA", at positions 8 to 796 of the family's 1533-position model. The record is from RNAcentral.